AGAGUUUGAUCCUGGCUCAGAACGAACGUUAGCGGUGUGGAUUAGGCAUGCAAGUCGUGCGCGAAAGCCUUCGGGCGAGUAGAGCGGCGAAAGGGUGAGUAACACGUAACCAACGUACCCUUCAGAUCGGGAUAACCACUGGAAACGGUGGGCAAUACCGAAUGGUCCUAAGGGGAGACAUCUCUCCGAUGGUAAACGGUGGCUUCGGCUGCUGCUGAGGGAGCGGGUUGCGGCCUAUCAGCUUGUUGGUGGGGUAACGGCCUACCAAGGCAUUUACGGGUAGCGGGUCUGAGAGGAUGAUCCGUCACACUGGGACUGAGACACUGCCCAGACUCCUACGGGAGGCUGCAGUCGAGAAUCUUCCGCAAUGGGCGCAAGCCUGACGGAGCGACACCGCGUGCAGGAUGAAGGCCUUCGGGUUGUAAACUGCUGUCACGCUAUAGGAACCCACGGGUGUUAAUAGCGCCCGUGCUGACCAAAGCGAGAGGAAGUGCCGGCUAACUCCGUGCCAGCAGCCGCGGUAAUACGGAGGGCGCAAACGUUGUUCGGAAUCACUGGGCAUAAAGAGCACGUAGGCGGCUUGUUAAGUCGAAUGUGAAAUCCCCCGGCUCAACCGGGGAACGGCAUCCGAUACUGGCAGGCUCGAGGACGGUAGGGGUAAGUGGAACUCCAGGUGGAACGGUGAAAUGUGUAGAUAUC
This 699-nucleotide ribosomal RNA is filed under the name uncultured bacterium. RNAcentral's name for it is "bacterial SSU rRNA". It matches the Rfam family "Bacterial small subunit ribosomal RNA", at positions 8 to 698 of the family's 1533-position model. The record is from RNAcentral.